RNAcentral lists this ribosomal RNA (468 nucleotides) under uncultured bacterium. RNAcentral describes it as "partial 16S ribosomal RNA". It matches the Rfam family "Bacterial small subunit ribosomal RNA", at positions 28 to 507 of the family's 1533-position model. The record is from RNAcentral.
GACGAACGCUGGCGGCGUGCUUAACACAUGCAAGUCGAACGGAAAGGCCCUGCUUUUGUGGGGUGCUCGAGUGGCGAACGGGUGAGUAACAAGUGAGUAACCUGCCCUUGACUUUGGGAUAACUUCAGGAAACUGGGGCUAAUACCGGAUAGGAGCUCCUGCUGCAUGGUGGGGGUUGGAAAGUUUCGGCGGUUGUGGAUGGACGCGAGGCUGAUCAGCUUGUUGGUGGGGUAGUGGCUUACCAAGGCUUUGAUGGGUAGCCGGCCUGAGAGGGGGACCGGCCACAUUGGGACAGAGAUACGGCCCAGACUCCUCCGGGAGGCAGCAGUGGGGAAUAUUGCACAAUGGGCGGAAGCCUGAUGCAGCAACGCCGCGUGCGGGAUGACGGCCUUCGGGUUGUAAACCGCUUUCGCCUGUGACGAAGCGUGAGUGACGGUAAUGGGUAAAGAAGCACCGGCUAACUACGUG